RNAcentral lists this unclassified non-coding RNA (450 nucleotides) under Anisopappus salviifolius. RNAcentral describes it as "partial external transcribed spacer". Lineage: Eukaryota; Viridiplantae; Streptophyta; Magnoliopsida; Asterales; Asteraceae. The record is from RNAcentral.
UUGGUUUGUUACGGGUGGUUGGCUCUUUGCUUGUGCAACAACUUCCACCCGACAUACCUCUUCAGUUGUGCGCCAAGGCUUUUGUCUUAGCGCAUUGUGGGUUUCCUGUGUUGCCUACCUACGUGACGGUAUUGUUCAGAUUGAACGUAGUCCCUUUUCGUCUUGUGUUACGCUCGUGGCAUGUGAUGAACCUAGUAAAGCAAUUUCUGUGGUCCACUUAUUGAUGUGUAUGCGUCGAUGUUGUGGCCCAUUGAGCAUUGCUUGGUCUUGAGGAUACGGAACCUGAUGUGGGCAUGGGGUCUUCUUUGGAUCCUUGUUCUGCCCUUGUUUAGCGUUCACGCAUCUCUAAAAUGACUGCCCGUCAUGUAGUGGCUCGUACCAGCAUGAUGGGUUAUGUCGAAGAGGAAUGCUACCUGGUUGAUCCUGCCAGUAGUCAUAUGCUUGUCUCAA